AUUGAACGCUGGCGGAAUGCUUUACACAUGCAAGUCGAGCGGCAGCGCGGGGCAACCUGGCGGCGAGCGGCGAACGGGUGAGUAAUACAUCGGAACGUACCCAGUUGUGGGGGAUAGCCCGGCGAAAGCCGGAUUAAUACCGCAUACGACCUGAGGGUGAAAGGGGGGGGAUCGCAAGACCUCUCGCAGUUGGAGCGGCCGAUGGCGGAUUAGCUAGUUGGUAGGGUAAAGGCCUACCAAGGCGACGAUCCGUAGCGGGUCUGAGAGGACGACCCGCCACACUGGAACUGAGACACGGUCCAGACUCCUACGGGAGGCAGCAGUGGGGAAUUUUGGACAAUGGGGGCAACCCUGAUCCAGCCAUUCCGCGUGAGUGAAGAAGGCCUUCGGGUUGUAAAGCUCUUUCGGCAGGAACGAAACGGUGGGCUCUAACAUAGCCUGCUAAUGACGGUACCUGAAGAAGAAGCACCGGCUAACUACGUGCCAGCCGCCGCGGUAA
This 499-nucleotide ribosomal RNA is filed under the name uncultured bacterium. RNAcentral describes it as "partial 16S ribosomal RNA". It matches the Rfam family "Bacterial small subunit ribosomal RNA", at positions 29 to 523 of the family's 1533-position model. The record is from RNAcentral.